RNAcentral lists this ribosomal RNA (480 nucleotides) under uncultured bacterium. Its description in RNAcentral is "bacterial SSU rRNA". It matches the Rfam family "Bacterial small subunit ribosomal RNA", at positions 335 to 798 of the family's 1533-position model. The record is from RNAcentral.
ACUCCGUACGGGAGGCAGCAGGUGGGGAAUAUUGGCACAAUGGGGGAAACCCUGAUGCAGCCAUGCCGCGUGUGUGAAGAAGGCCUUCGGGUUGUAAAGCACUUUCAGUAGGGAGGAAGGUAGUGGUAGUUAAUCACCUGGCAUUAUUUGACGUUACCUACAGAAGAAGCACCGGCUAACUCCGUGCCAGCAGCCGCGGUAAUACGGAGGGUGCGAGCGUUAAUCGGAAUUACUGGGCGUAAAGCGCAUGCAGGCGGCCUGUUAAGUCAGAUGUGAAAGCCCGGGGCUUAACCUCGGAAUUGCAUUUUGAAACUGGCAGGCUAGAGUCUUGUAGAGGGGGGGUAGAAUUUCAGGUGUAGCGGUGAAAUGCGUAGAGAUCUGAAGGAAUACCAGUGGCGAAGGCCGGCCCCCUGGACAAAGACUGACGCUCAGAUGCGAAAGCGUGGGGAGCAAACAGGAUUAGAUACCCUGGUAGACUGU